This 2535-nucleotide ribosomal RNA is filed under the name Staphylococcus aureus. Its description in RNAcentral is "23S ribosomal RNA". It matches the Rfam family "Bacterial large subunit ribosomal RNA", at positions 391 to 2925 of the family's 2925-position model. The record is from RNAcentral. Lineage: Bacteria; Bacillati; Bacillota; Bacilli; Caryophanales; Staphylococcaceae.
UCUCUCUUGAGUGGAUCCUGAGUACGACGGAGCACGUGAAAUUCCGUCGGAAUCUGGGAGGACCAUCUCCUAAGGCUAAAUACUCUCUAGUGACCGAUAGUGAACCAGUACCGUGAGGGAAAGGUGAAAAGCACCCCGGAAGGGGAGUGAAAUAGAACCUGAAACCGUGUGCUUACAAGUAGUCAGAGCCCGUUAAUGGGUGAUGGCGUGCCUUUUGUAGAAUGAACCGGCGAGUUACGAUUUGAUGCAAGGUUAAGCAGUAAAUGUGGAGCCGUAGCGAAAGCGAGUCUGAAUAGGGCGUUUAGUAUUUGGUCGUAGACCCGAAACCAGGUGAUCUACCCUUGGUCAGGUUGAAGUUCAGGUAACACUGAAUGGAGGACCGAACCGACUUACGUUGAAAAGUGAGCGGAUGAACUGAGGGUAGCGGAGAAAUUCCAAUCGAACCUGGAGAUAGCUGGUUCUCUCCGAAAUAGCUUUAGGGCUAGCCUCAAGUGAUGAUUAUUGGAGGUAGAGCACUGUUUGGACGAGGGGCCCCUCUCGGGUUACCGAAUUCAGACAAACUCCGAAUGCCAAUUAAUUUAACUUGGGAGUCAGAACAUGGGUGAUAAGGUCCGUGUUCGAAAGGGAAACAGCCCAGACCACCAGCUAAGGUCCCAAAAUAUAUGUUAAGUGGAAAAGGAUGUGGCGUUGCCCAGACAACUAGGAUGUUGGCUUAGAAGCAGCCAUCAUUUAAAGAGUGCGUAAUAGCUCACUAGUCGAGUGACACUGCGCCGAAAAUGUACCGGGGCUAAACAUAUUACCGAAGCUGUGGAUUGUCCUUUGGACAAUGGUAGGAGAGCGUUCUAAGGGCGUUGAAGCAUGAUCGUAAGGACAUGUGGAGCGCUUAGAAGUGAGAAUGCCGGUGUGAGUAGCGAAAGACGGGUGAGAAUCCCGUCCACCGAUUGACUAAGGUUUCCAGAGGAAGGCUCGUCCGCUCUGGGUUAGUCGGGUCCUAAGCUGAGGCCGACAGGCGUAGGCGAUGGAUAACAGGUUGAUAUUCCUGUACCACCUAUAAUCGUUUUAAUCGAUGGGGGGACGCAGUAGGAUAGGCGAAGCGUGCGAUUGGAUUGCACGUCUAAGCAGUAAGGCUGAGUAUUAGGCAAAUCCGGUACUCGUUAAGGCUGAGCUGUGAUGGGGAGAAGACAUUGNNNNNNNNNGUCUUCGAGUCGUUGAUUUCACACUGCCGAGAAAAGCCUCUAGAUAGAAAAUAGGUGCCCGUACCGCAAACCGACACAGGUAGUCAAGAUGAGAAUUCUAAGGUGAGCGAGCGAACUCUCGUUAAGGAACUCGGCAAAAUGACCCCGUAACUUCGGGAGAAGGGGUGCUCUUUAGGGUUAACGCCCAGAAGAGCCGCAGUGAAUAGGCCCAAGCGACUGUUUAUCAAAAACACAGGUCUCUGCUAAACCGUAAGGUGAUGUAUAGGGGCUGACGCCUGCCCGGUGCUGGAAGGUUAAGAGGAGUGGUUAGCUUCUGCGAAGCUACGAAUCGAAGCCCCAGUAAACGGCGGCCGUAACUAUAACGGUCCUAAGGUAGCGAAAUUCCUUGUCGGGUAAGUUCCGACCCGCACGAAAGGCGUAACGAUUUGGGCACUGUCUCAACGAGAGACUCGGUGAAAUCAUAGUACCUGUGAAGAUGCAGGUUACCCGCGACAGGACGGAAAGACCCCGUGGAGCUUUACUGUAGCCUGAUAUUGAAAUUCGGCACAGCUUGUACAGGAUAGGUAGGAGCCUUUGAAACGUGAGCGCUAGCUUACGUGGAGGCGCUGGUGGGAUACUACCCUAGCUGUGUUGGCUUUCUAACCCGCACCACUUAUCGUGGUGGGAGACAGUGUCAGGCGGGCAGUUUGACUGGGGCGGUCGCCUCCUAAAAGGUAACGGAGGCGCUCAAAGGUUCCCUCAGAAUGGUUGGAAAUCAUUCAUAGAGUGUAAAGGCAUAAGGGAGCUUGACUGCGAGACCUACAAGUCGAGCAGGGUCGAAAGACGGACUUAGUGAUCCGGUGGUUCCGCAUGGAAGGGCCAUCGCUCAACGGAUAAAAGCUACCCCGGGGAUAACAGGCUUAUCUCCCCCAAGAGUUCACAUCGACGGGGAGGUUUGGCACCUCGAUGUCGGCUCAUCGCAUCCUGGGGCUGUAGUCGGUCCCAAGGGUUGGGCUGUUCGCCCAUUAAAGCGGUACGCGAGCUGGGUUCAGAACGUCGUGAGACAGUUCGGUCCCUAUCCGUCGUGGGCGUAGGAAAUUUGAGAGGAGCUGUCCUUAGUACGAGAGGACCGGGAUGGACAUACCUCUGGUGUACCAGUUGUCGUGCCAACGGCAUAGCUGGGUAGCUAUGUGUGGACGGGAUAAGUGCUGAAAGCAUCUAAGCAUGAAGCCCCCCUCAAGAUGAGAUUUCCCAACUUCGGUUAUAAGAUCCCUCAAAGAUGAUGAGGUUAAUAGGUUCGAGGUGGAAGCAUGGUGACAUGUGGAGCUGACGAAUACUAAUCGAUCGAAGACUUAAUCAA